RNAcentral lists this ribosomal RNA (301 nucleotides) under uncultured bacterium. RNAcentral's name for it is "partial 16S ribosomal RNA". It matches the Rfam family "Bacterial small subunit ribosomal RNA", at positions 509 to 807 of the family's 1533-position model. The record is from RNAcentral.
CAGUCGCCGCGGUAAGACGAACCGUGCGAACGUUAUUCGGAAUUACUGGGCGUAAGGCGCACGUAGGCGGCUUGGUAAGUUAGAGGUGAAAGCCCGGAGCUCAACUCCGGAAUUGCCUUUAAGACUGCCGAGCUAGUAGGUGAGAGAGGUAAGUGGAAUUCCGAGUGUAGAGGUGAAAUUCGUAGAUAUUCGGAAGAACACCAGUGGCGAAGGCGGCUUACUGGCUCAUUCUAGACGCUGAGGUGCGAAAGCGUGGGGAGCAAACAGGAUUAGAUACCCCAGUAGUCCCUGUCUCUUAUAC